This 786-nucleotide unclassified non-coding RNA is filed under the name Hevea brasiliensis (rubber tree). Lineage: Eukaryota; Viridiplantae; Streptophyta; Magnoliopsida; Malpighiales; Euphorbiaceae. The record is from RNAcentral.
UGAGGCAAAGCAAAUAAGAGUAGACGGGUUUUCAUUUCCAGCAACCUUGAGUGAUGCAAAUGAUGCAGCAUGUGCUUCAAGCGCCUGACUGCGCUGCUGAUCCACAGAAAAGAGCUGCAUAUUUCCUUUAACCAGUUGUGGCCUCUCAGGAGCACCUGGUGCAAUUCCAAUCAGAACUAGCCAUUUCUCAUUUGGGUCACAGCGAUAGUUAAUAAUUUGAUUAUUUGCUAGAUUAGCUGUUCUGUCAAACAUCUUUACAGGCUCAGAAUCACCUUCUAUUGACCAAUGAUAUACUGAAGUUUGUGUAACCAAUCCCAACAUCUUUGGGGUGAUCCACUUCCAAAAGACAACCUGUUCAGUCAUCUGAUGCGAUUUUAUUUUUGCCUUCGCCUCAAUAUUGAAGAUUUGUAAGUGAUCCUGAGUAGUUCCCGCUAGUAUCGCUUUGAGAGCAAGAAUCCUCGCAUUCGGAUUCAUCAGAGCCGAAUCCGCCGUGAUCGGCCGCCGCAGAGGCUGCAUCGGCAUGCUCAUGUCGAUGAUCACGAUGCUGUUCUGCGGCGAGGUCUCCCGCACGCAUAUGUACUUGUCCGACUCCAUGGUGACGUGCGUGAACGUGAUGAAUUGCGGAUUGAUCCCCAAGCUCGGCAGCGUGAGGGCCUCCUUCAUGGUGACAGGGGCGUUGGCCGCGGCCAUGGCGGGCGGGAAGAUCGGCGGCACACCCCUAGGGUUCCGGCGAGGGGCGCUGGAUCUGAACGGAGCAGCGGAGCCCUUGCGGGGAGGGGCAAGGAG